UUUAUAUUCUCUCUGUCCAGAAAUACUAGUCGAAGAAAUGAAUGUAUCUAGACGUAUUUUAGUUUUAGAUACAUCUAUUUUUAUUCAUUUCAACGACAAGUAUUUCCGGACAGAGGGAGUACAUC
Non-coding RNA from Triticum aestivum (bread wheat), 125 nucleotides. The record is from Rfam. Lineage: Eukaryota; Viridiplantae; Streptophyta; Magnoliopsida; Poales; Poaceae.